Molecule: ribosomal RNA, 460 nt
Filed under: uncultured bacterium
Lineage: Bacteria
Description: partial 16S ribosomal RNA
Rfam family: Bacterial small subunit ribosomal RNA
Source: RNAcentral
CCUACGGGGAGCUGCAGUGAGGAAUAUUGGUCAAUGGACGAGAGUCUGAACCAGCCAAGUAGCGUGAAGGAUGACUGCCCUAUGGGUUGUACACUUCUUUUAUAUGGGAAUAAAAUGUUCCACGUGUGGGAUUUUGUAGGUACCAUAUGAAUAAGGAUCGGCUAACUCCGUGCCAGCAGCCGCGGUAAUACGGAGGAUCCGAGCGUUAUCCGGAUUUAUUGGGUUUAAAGGGAGCGUAGGUGGAGUGUUAAGUCAGUUGUGAAAUUUUGCGGCUCAACCGUGAAAUUGCAGUUGAAACUGGCAUUCUUGAGGACAGUGAAGGUAGGCGGAAUUCGUGGUGUAGCGGUGAAAUGCUUAGAUAUCACGAAGAACUCCGAUUGCGAAGGCAGCUCACUGGACUGCAACUGACACUGAGGCUCGAAAGUGUGGGUAUCAAACAGGAUUAGAUACCCGUGUAGUC